RNAcentral lists this unclassified non-coding RNA (401 nucleotides) under soil metagenome. RNAcentral's name for it is "partial contains 5.8S ribosomal RNA, internal transcribed spacer 2, and large subunit ribosomal RNA". The stretch from base 1 to 121 matches the Rfam family "5.8S ribosomal RNA", at positions 35 to 154 of the family's 154-position model. The record is from RNAcentral.
GAUGAAGAACGUAGCGAAAUGCGAUAAGUAAUGUGAAUUGCAGAAUUCAGUGAAUCAUCGAAUCUUUGAACGCACCUUGCGCCCCUUGGUUAUUCCAAAGGGCAUGCCUGUUUGAGUAUCAUGGACACCUCAACUCUUGUGGUUUCCCACAAUGAGCUUGGACUGUGGAGGUUUUGUUGGCCCUGUGGUCAGCUCCUCUCAAAUGGAUCAGCUUACCGGUGUUUGGUGGCAUUACGGGUGUGAUAACUAUCUACGCUCGUGGUCGUCUCCAAAUAACCUCCAGUGAUGGAGGUUCGCUGGAGCUUAUAAAUGUCUCUCCCCAGUGAAGACAGCCUUUGAACGUUCGAUCUCAAAUCAGGUAGGACUACCCGCUGAACUUAAGCAUAUCAAUAAGCGGAGGA